UACGUAGGGUGCGAGCGUUGUCCGGAAUUACUGGGCGUAAAGAUCUCGUAGGUGGUUUGUCGCGUUGUCCGUGAAAACUCACAACUCAAUUGUGGGCGUGCGGGCGAUACGGGCAGACUGGAGUACUGCAGGGGAGACUGGAAUUCCUGGUGUAGCGGUGGAAUGCGCAGAUAUCAGGAGGAACACCGAUGGCGAAGGCAGGUCUCUGGGCCAUAACUGACGCUGAGAAGCGAAAGCAUGGGGAGCGAACAGG
Molecule: ribosomal RNA, 253 nt
Filed under: uncultured bacterium
Lineage: Bacteria
Description: partial 16S ribosomal RNA
Rfam family: Bacterial small subunit ribosomal RNA
Source: RNAcentral